This 64-nucleotide transfer RNA is filed under the name Coleomegilla maculata. Its description in RNAcentral is "tRNA-Asn". The record is from RNAcentral. Lineage: Eukaryota; Metazoa; Arthropoda; Insecta; Coleoptera; Coccinellidae.
CCACGAUCUAAGUUAUUUAAAUUUAAUAACCUCAAAUUUAAAAAUAAAUGAUUAACACCUAAAG